RNAcentral lists this unclassified non-coding RNA (264 nucleotides) under Salmonella enterica subsp. enterica serovar Corvallis. RNAcentral describes it as "partial 16S-23S ribosomal RNA intergenic spacer". The stretch from base 70 to 143 matches the Rfam family "tRNA". The record is from RNAcentral. Lineage: Bacteria; Pseudomonadati; Pseudomonadota; Gammaproteobacteria; Enterobacterales; Enterobacteriaceae.
CCUUAAAGAACUGUUCUUUGCAGUGCUCACACAGAUUGUCUGAUGAAAAACGAGCAGUAAAACCUCUACAGGCUUGUAGCUCAGGUGGUUAGAGCGCACCCCUGAUAAGGGUGAGGUCGGUGGUUCAAGUCCACUCAGGCCUACCAGAUUCGCUCCCGUGCUUUGUUGUGGCAAAGCUCGCAUACUUCAGUAUGCUUCGCUUCACCACGCCGCGCCCGGAAACGAAUCAAAGGUAAGAGGUUCUGACUACACGAUGGGGCUAUA